RNAcentral lists this ribosomal RNA (548 nucleotides) under uncultured bacterium. Its description in RNAcentral is "bacterial SSU rRNA". It matches the Rfam family "Bacterial small subunit ribosomal RNA", at positions 777 to 1323 of the family's 1533-position model. The record is from RNAcentral.
AAUAGAUACCCAGGUAGUCCACGCCCUAAACGAUGUCAACUAGUUGUCGGGUCUUAACGGACUUGGUAACGCAGCUAACGCGUGAAGUUGACCGCCUGGGGAGUACGGUCGCAAGAUUAAAACUCAAAGGAAUUGACGGGGACCCGCACAAGCGGUGGAUUAUGUGGAUUAAUUCGAUGCAACGCGAAAAACCUUACCUACCCUUGACAUGUGCCGAAGUCCGCUGAGAGGUGGACGUGCCCGAAAGGGAGCGGCAACACAGGUGCUGCAUGGCUGUCGUCAGCUCGUGUCGUGAGAUGUUGGGUUAAGUCCCGCAACGAGCGCAACCCUUGUCAUUAAUUGCCCAUCAUUCAGUUGGGCACUUUAAUGAAACUGCCGGUGACAAACCGGAGGAAGGUGGGGAUGACGUCAAGUCCUCAUGGCCCUUAUGGGUAGGGCUUCACACGUAAUACAAUGGCGCGUACAGAGGGUUGCCAACCCGCGAGGGGGUAGCUAAUCUCAGAAAGCGCGUCGUAGUCCGGAUCGGAGUCUGCAACUCGACUCCGGUG